CAAAACGAGGAGGAAGGGAGGGCUAAAGGGGGCAGGUUGUUAUUAUAUUUAUAUAUUUUUGAGGAGGCACCAGUCAGGGAGCCUCUCUCACUUGGAUGACAAACGCACUCCGCCCUCUUCCGACCACAACAAGCAUUAAGUAGGCCUACAGAAGCCACGGAGAGAUGCAUCAGGAGCCGUGUGUUCAUAAAGCCCGUCUUCUCAAUCAUCUCAUAGGGGCUCCAGAGGCGCCAUUGAUCCCGCGUAUGGCUGCGCACUCUGUCAAUCACGGCGCAGCGCUUUGGCGGCGCGGAGAGGGAGCUGUCCGGUGCUGAAAACCCCCGACGAGAGAGUAAACAAGCUGUCCAUGACUGAAACCGAGAGAGCGAAUUAUGGGCUGAUUUAUCAGAAUAAACGUCUGAUUAGAGUCAAUAAAUAGAGAUUUUUUUCUCACAGAAGUCGUUUUGUUGAUGUUUAAGUUUGAAUUAAAUCAAUUUUCCGAGGUUGUAAAACACUUAACAGGAACCUGGUUUUCUAACCUAACCCCAGUUUACACCAAUCUGACAGAAAUGCAAAGGGUUAAAAGAAAGAUGAAGUGGGCUAACAGCGUAUUAGGUACCUGGAAAUCUUGUAGCUACUUUUAACUUUGAGGUUAAACUAAAAAUUGAACUAUGAGAAUAAAAUUUGAGCUAGGCUGUGUGUGGAAAGAUUAUAUGCUAUGUAGAUUAUAUUGAAUAUAACAGUGCCUGUUUAAAGUUAUCAUACAUAUCUCUUCUUAAAGGGAUAUCUUGGCGUAAAAUUAAUUUAGGGUCAAACAGACCGUAACACUGAGUUAGACACCCCCUCAAGAGAUGAAUGUUGCUGACCGCUUGCUUCUCUAGAUAUACCAACUUCAGUAACGACCGCACGAUAGCAACACACAACAGUCUACGUCUCAACCAAAAAGCCACUCUAUAGCCACAAAUAAUGUUUAGAACAGCACCUAACUUCAUCGACAGUAAAAAUAGGGUCCCGGCCAUAGUACUAGCCACCAAACAUCUUUUUAGCUUUGCCUGAUUUCUUUAGCAAAGAGACUAAACACAACUCACCUACUCUCUUCCAGCAGCCACUUGUUUGUAGCAAGACCCGGGCCAGUCCAUUAUGGACUACAGUGGGGUGACGCAGCUCAAGGAAGAACAUUUAUGAUAACUUCUUCAUGGAAAUGCAAUCAGACCGAGACACUGAGGCAGAAGAACUACCGUGUCUUGGUCUGCAGUGCAAAAUGAUUAAUAGUAAGUAGUAAGUAAAGUAAUGAUCAUAAAUGUUCUAACUAAGUGUUACGGUGUGUUUGACCUUAAAUUAAUUUUACACCAGAAUAUCCCUUUAAUAACUGAGAAAACUCAAAAGAAAAUAGACAAUAGUACGAGUUUGGACAACCAUUGAGUCAGCCAUACCUUCUCUUCAGCCUUGGCAUGUUUUGAUCAGUAAACUGGUUUAAAAUUGGGUCACUCAUGUUUAAGCUAAGUAACUUCUAUUUUUUUGCCUCAUCAUCCAUCCACCCGUCUUUCUCAUUCUGGGUUGACUCUCUUUUUCUCUAUGCUGGAUGCAGUGGCAUGUCACGUCACACUGUGUUGGGCUGGAAGCGUCUAGUUCUGGAAACAGGGCGAGGAAGACAAGCGUGACGGAGUGUGACUGAGCCGAGAGACGACCUGUGUGCUGAACGGGCCACCGGGAACGGUCGAAGUCAGAACCUGCAGACCUCAUAGAACCUGCUGACCAACCUUCGGCACAUACAGCUGCUCCUGACGGGAACUAGCAGCUGCCAACAACGUACAGAAAAUAAUCAGAUGUAUUUAGCAAAGACCUGAGCAGGAUCUGAGCUAAAACUUUGACAGUAAUGCUUCCAAAAUGCUGCAAGGAU
This 1879-nucleotide long non-coding RNA is filed under the name Xyrichtys novacula (pearly razorfish). The record is from RNAcentral. Lineage: Eukaryota; Metazoa; Chordata; Actinopteri; Labriformes; Labridae.